UACGUAGGGUGCAAGCGUUAAUCGGAAUUACUGGGCGUAAAGAGUGCGUAGGCGGCUAUGUAAGACAGAUGUGAAAUCCCUGGGCUUAACCUAGGAACUGCAUUUGUGACUGCAUGGCUAGAGUGUGGUAGAGGGAGAUGGAAUUCCGCAUGUAGCAGUGAAAUGCGUAGAUAUCAGGAGGAACACCGGUGGCGAAGGCGGUUCUCUGGGCCUGUACUGACGCUGAGGAACGAAAGCGUGGGGAGCGAACAGG
Molecule: ribosomal RNA, 253 nt
Filed under: uncultured bacterium
Lineage: Bacteria
Description: partial 16S ribosomal RNA
Rfam family: Bacterial small subunit ribosomal RNA
Source: RNAcentral